AUACUGCAUCAGGAACUGAUUGGAUCCCAGGGAGCAGCCAUCAGUUCCUAAUGCAUUGCCU
Molecule: microRNA precursor, 61 nt
Filed under: Xenopus laevis (African clawed frog)
Lineage: Eukaryota; Metazoa; Chordata; Amphibia; Anura; Pipidae
Description: Xla-Mir-217-P3-v2_pre stem-loop
Source: RNAcentral